CCUACGGGGGGCUGCAGUGAGGAAUCUUCCGCAAUGGGCGCAAGCCUGACGGAGCGACGCCGCGUGAACGAUGAAGGCCGCAAGGUUGUAAAGUUCUUUUCGGGAAGGAGAAUAAGGGGAGCAGGCAAUGGCUUUCCGAUGCCGUGAAUCCCGGAAUAAGCCCCGGCUAACUACGUGCCAGCAGCCGCGGUAACACGUAGGGGGCGAGCGUUGUUCGGAAUCAUUGGGCGUAAAGGGCGCGCAGGCGGCGUAUAAAGUCUGGCGUGAAAGUCCCCGGCUCAACCGGGGGAUAGCGUUGGAAACUGGUAUGCUUGAGUACGAGAGGGGAUGGCGGAAUUCCAGGUGUAGGGGUGAAAUCUGUAGAUAUCUGGAGGAACACCGACGGCGAAGGCAGCCAUCUGGUUCAGUACUGACGCUGAGGCGCGAAGGUGCGGGGAGCAAACAGGCUUAGAUACCCCAGUAGUC
RNAcentral lists this ribosomal RNA (465 nucleotides) under uncultured bacterium. Its description in RNAcentral is "bacterial SSU rRNA". It matches the Rfam family "Bacterial small subunit ribosomal RNA", at positions 338 to 795 of the family's 1533-position model. The record is from RNAcentral.